This 460-nucleotide ribosomal RNA is filed under the name uncultured bacterium. RNAcentral's name for it is "partial 16S ribosomal RNA". It matches the Rfam family "Bacterial small subunit ribosomal RNA", at positions 338 to 795 of the family's 1533-position model. The record is from RNAcentral.
CCUACGGGUGGCAGCAGUGAGGAAUAUUGGUCAAUGGACGAGAGUCUGAACCAGCCAAGUAGCGUGAAGGAUGACUGCCCUAUGGGCUGUAAACUUCGUUUAUAAAGGAAUAAAACGAGGCACGUGUGCCUUUUUGCAUGUACUUUAUGAAUAAGGCUCGGCUAACUCCGUGCCAGCAGCCGCGGUAAUACGGAGGAUCCGAGCGUUAUCCGGAGUCAUUGGGUUUAAAGGGAGCGUAGAUGGGUUGGUAAGUCAGUUGUGAAAGUUUGCGGCUAAACCGUAAAAUUGCAAUUGAUACUGGCAGUCUUGAGUACAGUUGAGGUAGGCGGAAUUCGUGGUGUAGCGGUGAAAUGCUUAGAUAUCACGAAGAACCCCGAUUGCGAAGGCAGCUUACUAAACUGUGACUGACAUUGAGGCUCGAAAGUGUGGGGAUCAAACAGGAUUAGAUACCCGUGUAGUC